Podarcis raffonei (Aeolian wall lizard) is the source of this 851-nucleotide long non-coding RNA. RefSeq lists it as uncharacterized. NCBI's taxonomy places the organism in Eukaryota, Metazoa, Chordata, Lepidosauria, Squamata, Lacertidae. The record is from RefSeq and is a predicted model, not a curated record. The transcript is spliced from 3 exons.
CAAAGAUUUCUGGGCACUUCCUGGCCAAUCAUGGCUCCGUCUAGGUAUUAGGCUCAGAACUUUACCUCAGGCUGAGGGACUAUGAGCAGAUUUUUAUUCCCCUCAGCAGAGCUUCUGGGCUUAAACUACAAUAUGGUUCCACAGUCAGAAGUCUGAACAUGAAACGGUUUCUCAGCGCAAAAGUACAGCUCUGGGGAAAGUUAUCAAUGGCAUUUUGAGAGAAGCUAAAAUUAACAGAUUUGCCAAUCCCCUACUGCAGGGUAGCGUGGUCACUUGCACCACCUCAGCAAGGCAAUGCUGAGGAGGAUAAUUUUACCACACAUUUUGGGGCCAACGAUUGCAAAAUAUGUGGUAGAAUGACCAGUUCUAACACCUCAAGCGACAUGGGAGUCAAAAACCCUCAGCGAAGAAGUAUCUCAUCUUCAGAGGAGAGUGGACCAGGGGAUUGGAUCAGCUCUUUGCUUGCCGAGUCCCAAACAGGAUGGAAGCGAGACACACGCUUCCUCCAGGGACCUGCAAUCCUCUAUUAGGAGCCAUUUGCAAUUAAUGCAAACACUGAUGCUUACGCCAUCACGAUAACACUGAAAUCCAGCCAGUUCCACGGGUCUCGAAGGAAGGUGAAUUCAUUCAAGCAAAAGCCUCUUGCCAAUAUCUUGAUUAGACAUUCAAAGGAAUAAAUGGCCGUGAAAGUAUACCUGGGGAGUGAAAGUAUACAGGGAAACAAGGUCAACACAGAAAGUAAGGUCCUGUAUUAGGAGAAUAUAGUCGAAAUAGAAGGAACAAUAUCACCAAAGUUACUUACUCAACAUACUUCGUGGAGGAAGUCUCACUGCUAUUUGACUGCACGUCCG